This 763-nucleotide ribosomal RNA is filed under the name uncultured bacterium. RNAcentral's name for it is "bacterial SSU rRNA". It matches the Rfam family "Bacterial small subunit ribosomal RNA", at positions 8 to 794 of the family's 1533-position model. The record is from RNAcentral.
AGAGUUUGAUCAUGGCUCAGGAUGAACGCUGACAGAAUGCUUAACACAUGCAAGUCUACUUGAUCCUUCGGGUGAUGGUGGCGGACGGGUGAGUAACGCGUAAAGAACUUGCCCUGCAGUCUGGGACAACAUUUGGAAACGAAUGCUAAUACCGGAUAUUAUGUGAGAUUCGCAUGUUUCUCAUAUGAAAGCUAUAUGCGCUGCAGGAGAGCUUUGCGUCCUAUUAGCUAGUUGGUGAGGUAACGGCUCACCAAGGCCAUGAUAGGUAGCCGGCCUGAGAGGGUGAACGGCCACAAGGGGACUGAGACACGGCCCUUACUCCUACGGGAGGCAGCAGUGGGGAAUAUUGGACAAUGGACCAUAAGUCUGAUCCAGCAAUUCUGUGUGCACGAUGAAGUUUUUCGGAAUGUAAAGUGCUUUCAGUUGGGACGAAGUAAGUGACGGCACCAACAGAAGAAGCGACGGCCAAAUACGUGCCAGCAGCCGCGGUAAUACGUAUGGUGCAAGCGUUAUCCGGAUUUACUGGGUGUAAAGGGUGAGUAGGCGGUUAUGCAAGUCAUAUGUGAAAUUCUGGAGCUCAACUCCAGCGCUGCAUAAGAAACUGUGUAACUAGAGUACAGGAGAGGUAAGCGGAAUUCCUAGUGUAGCGGUGAAAUGCGUAGAUAUUAGGAAGAACACCGGUGGCGAAGGCGGCUUACUGGACUGAAACUGACGCUGAGUCACGAAAGCGUGGGGAGCGAACAGGAUUAGAUACCCUGGUAGU